GAUCAUUCCGGUUGAUCCUGCCGGAGGCCAUUGCUAUCGGGGUCCGAUUUAGCCAUGCUAGUCGUACGGGUUUAGACCCGUGGCGAAUAGCUCCGUAACACGUGGUCAAACUACCCUGUGGACCGGAAUAACCUCGGGAAACUGAGGCUAAUUCCGGAUACGGCUCUAUGCCUGGAAGGGCACGAGCCGGAAACGUUCCGACGCCACAGGAUGUGACUGCGGCCGAUUAGGUAGACGGUGGGGUAACGGCCCACCGUGCCAAUAAUCGGUACGGGUUGUGAGAGCAAGAACCCGGAGACGGAAUCUGAGACAAGA
This 315-nucleotide ribosomal RNA is filed under the name Halobacteriales archaeon SW_7_68_16. Its description in RNAcentral is "bacterial SSU rRNA". It matches the Rfam family "Archaeal small subunit ribosomal RNA", at positions 1 to 313 of the family's 1478-position model. The record is from RNAcentral. Lineage: Archaea; Methanobacteriati; Methanobacteriota; Halobacteria; Halobacteriales.